This is a long non-coding RNA of Bombus terrestris (buff-tailed bumblebee), 280 nucleotides long. RefSeq lists it as uncharacterized. NCBI's taxonomy places the organism in Eukaryota, Metazoa, Arthropoda, Insecta, Hymenoptera, Apidae. The transcript is spliced from 2 exons. The record is from RefSeq and is a predicted model, not a curated record.
GAGUUUAUUCUUUUUAAACAAAUUCUGUGAAUAAUCCGAAUUAUUGGUUCUGCACGCAUUUUUCUUCCUUUCGCUUUUAAAUUCGCGGUAUUUGUAAAGCGCUGCGAUCUCGCCAUCUGGUAACUAAACGCAAUCGAUUAAAUAGUGGAAUCGACAUUGUUGACUGUUGAUAAUUACGAUAGCAAGAAUUGUAUUCAACAUCGAACGAUACGAUAACGUGGAGAUGGCACAGGUGUUGAUGAGGUUAGGCCUCGUGCUGAACUACGUGUGCGCCUCCUCC